Molecule: long non-coding RNA, 4864 nt
Filed under: Sus scrofa (pig)
Lineage: Eukaryota; Metazoa; Chordata; Mammalia; Artiodactyla; Suidae
Description: lncRNA (ENSSSCG00000058938.1)
Source: RNAcentral
CCCCAUGUCCUUCUCCAUCAAAGGAGAUUCCCAGUUGUGACUGCACCUCCUCCAUGCGUCAGCCCCUACCACAUGGUUCCUUUUUCGGUGAGUCUCAGUUUCUGUCAGAUGAACUGGCUUCUAGGUGCUCUAAGGCCACCUUCACCCCACAGCUUGAAGGAUACUGGUAGCUUCCUGUUAGAUUUAACAUCUAGGUGACUUCACUACCCUUUAUCCCAAGGAUAUCCACCUGGUAAAAUGUAGUUGCCACGCACAAUCUUUAGUUACUCUGAUGUCUCCCUGUUGCUGCUCUUUCCUGAUCAGUGUGCACUGAGUUUGUUUCCAUGAGGAACUGCCGUAGCUCUCUGCAGUUACCUUUUAAACGGUCUCCUAGAAUUGGCUUUGGGUGGGGGAACACGGCAUCACGGCUCUUCUGGUUAAUGAUUCCUUCCCUCUUUCCUUUCAGAAGGCGUUUCUUCUCUCCCCUGUGGUGCCCCACAUUGAAACAUGCCCCAUGUCUCUCCCUGGUUAUGGAUUUCAGGCAUGAACCCAGUCGUAGCCAAUCAGAGUCCAUUUUCCAGGAAUUGUUACAGAUGCUGAGAAGAGGGGAAUCUCCUUUUGAGCUGUGGCCAUGAGGAACUAUUCCACUCUAUCUUGCUGGGGGAAGCUUUUGUGGCAGGAACCUAUUUGAGAGUAGGGGCUGACAUCAAAGGACAGAGACCUGAGAACACUUUUUUAAGUUCCUGCGUAAAUGUGGGAAGACUGCACUGUUACUGCAAAGUACAAGUCAACUCCUAAAACUCUCUAAUCAUAACAGCCUUCCUCUUCCAGCGUGCCAGAAGGGAAGUUUGAGUAGAAUGGAAUGAGAGGCAGCUAUGGAAGAUAAAGUCAAUUUGGAAUCAUGGACCCAGCAAAGGAGGAUAAAAAUGGGUGUCUGAGUGGUUGCUGAGGGGGAAGCAACUUUGAAAACACAACACCUGGCAGACAUUGACUUAUCUCCACACAUUCAUCUCUGUUUUCUGGCCCUUUCUGCCACUUAUGAUGCCUGCAACAUCCCUUCUAUUUAUUGCAUCGUGGUAAAUCUUCCAUAACUCUUUGAAGUCAAAGCCCAUUACUUUUACUACUACCCAGUGCCGACAUCAGUGACUAAGCUCCCUGCAUGCUUUGAGAUUUUUUUUUUGAACCAGAUGUCAUCAAAUAGGGAGAAGGAGUUUGUCUAAAAUUAAACUGUUUAUUCAUAAAACAGUAACAUUUUUUGUGGAAGGAAAUAAAACAGAUUUUAAAUGCCUAUGAGUAAAUUGUUGAAAAUAACAUCUAAGCAAUCAUCCAUGUUUUCCUUAGUGCUGAAUGAACUGUUUUAGUGCAUGUUGUCUUUAACGCUAAGGAUAUAUGGGCUUAUGCCAUUGGAUAACUUACUCCAUGCCAUGAACGGAUGGGUUUAUGACAUGAGCUCAGUAUCAGCUGGCACUUAAGAUCUGUAAUUUGUUUUACAAGGUUAUAUAAACUUGACUUGGGCUAGAAACAUUUUCUUUCAGCUACUCUCAGCUUCUGGCGCUGGGUUGGCCACUUUCUCAGGCUCUGCUUUGAUUGUCUGCAUGAAUCCCUCAUGAAUUGUCAUCUCCAUCUUAACCUUUGUCAGAACACUUAACAUUUGUGCCACCAAGUAAAGUUCUGUUUGAAUCAGCUAGGACUUUUAAAAGGAACCAUGGUUGUUGAUAUGCUUCGAUUUGCUCAUAAUCAUAUAAGAUAAAUAUAUUAUUACUCAACUAUAAGUUAAAUAUGUUAUUACUUAUAGACAGUUAUAAUUCAUUUUUCUUAAUUGUAAGCAGCAUGACUCUAAAUUAUUAUUUAGAAUUCAGCCACCUCUGACUUCCUUAACACAUCAGAAACAAGCAGGUUGAAUAUUAAAGGGUAAUUCUUAGCCACAUCAGAAACAAGCAGGUUGAAUAUUAAAGGGUAAUUCUUAGCCAGAGUGGUGGUUGUUUGAUCUAGUGCUGUUUAUUUCCCUAUACGUAUGUUUUUAUAUGUCAUAUUUUAUAAUAAUACUAGGUUUGAUAAUAACAAUUUCAUGUAUGUAUGUUUUUAUACAGACCAAUAUCCCUUUUCCUUUUUUUUUUCUUCUUUUUUCAGCCACACCUGUGGCAUAUAGACGUUCCCAGGCUAGGGGCUGAUUUGGAGCUGCAGCUGCCAGCCACAGCCACAGCAACGCCAGAUCUGAGUUGCAUCCGCUGCCUAUGCCACAGCUUGCAGCCACACUGGAUCCUUAACCCACUGAGAAAAGCCUUAGACCAAACCCGCAUCCUCACAAACACUAUGUCAGGUUCUUAACCCACUGAGCCCACAACGAGAACUCCUGAACUUCCUUCUUUUUCUCAAGAUUUUCUCCCUCUUAUUUAGGGAAAGAUAGGAAAGACAAGCCCUUAUUUCCCAUUUGGCUCUCUAAGGGAGGAGGACUUUGACAUAGAAUAUUUUUGCCUUGUAAAGAGUCAUUUUAAAAUAUCUGUCACCUUGGUUAUUUGGAAGCGUCUUACUACUGGCUCUGGCCUCUUCUCUGGAGUAGUCCCAGUGCCUGGACAAUGCCUGGCUCUGGAUAAGUGCCUAAACCUUCUCUGGCAAAGUACAGAAUUUAGAGAAGGUUAGGCACUUAUGCGAAAAUAUCAUUGAAUCGAUGGAUUCCUCAAACAUUUUUACUCGGGCAAGAUGCGCCACCUAGGAUUGCUUUUGGCUUUCCCUGUGACGCUGGAGAAGAGCUCUCUCACACACAUUUUUCUCAUCAUCGUGUCUUCUUUACUAAGGUUGUCCUGAGGAUCAAACAUAAUUAGCUAAAGUAUCCAGCACAUGAUUGCCAUCUAAUUAGUUCUCCAUGGCUACCAUAUUGGAAAUCUUUUGUAGCACUGCAGAAAUAUCGGAAAACUCAUCUUAGAAGCUAAAAUGUUCCUGCUGCAUUUUUUUUUUCUAUCAGAGAUCUUUAAGUACUGUCCCAUAGUUGUAAUUGCACUACAGAAUUCAGUUGUAUGAGAAGGGCUGGAGGCAAAAUAACUCCUAAGCCCGAUCAUUUCUUUAAAAAAUGGUUAUACAGUUUAGCACCAGAGAAAAUGGCAGGAAGAAUUCAUUUCUGUGUUGGCUAUCAUGGGAUUCAUUGUGCUUGCAUAAGAACAUAUCCAGGGGCAGCCAGAUCACAUCUUUUCCCACGUUUCAUAUUAGGUCACAACAAACCUUCCACAUCCAGGAGGUAUUAUAACAACAUGUCAAGACAGUUUUAGAUUUAAUGGCACAAUGCACAUUCUAGUGAGAGGGAGAUAAACUUCGAGCCAGGCAGAAAUGAAUAUCCUUUCCAGUUGAAAAGAAACAGGAGGCACCAAAGCUUCAACUGUCGUUCAGAACAAAGUCAAACAGUACCUGGAUGUUUGGGGAUUCCUUUGGCACGCGUUUCUAACGAAGUGGAGGAAACUAAUGCCAGACACAUGUUCUAAUUUUGCCAGCUAGAGGGAGAAUUUAGCAUAGUUUUAGGUGUGUGCUUUUUAAAAUACAGCCCCACCCUACCAGCUUACUCUUGGGAACUUCAAGAUUCAGUAGAAGUUUCUAGAUUAGCUUCUCAAGAGAAAAAAAAAAUUAAACAAAAAAAAAGAGAGUGAAAAGGUAAAUAUGUCUGUCCAGCAACCUUCACUGUUGAGUUAUGUACUUUUUAUGAGGGCAUGAAAUAUUUAGAUAGUCUGUCUUUUGCAAAAGUCAUUUUGUGUUUGGCUAUUACUUCUUCAUGUUCCACCCUUUGCAAGCAAUCAUUUCUCUAACCUCUAUUCCCUCUGGUUAUGCUUAAAUUUAGAAUCAAAUUCUAUUUUCCUUCAUUCCUAGCUUUUUCCUUUCCAUGCUUUCAACAAACACUUCUUGAGCACUCACAGUUAGGUAGGUACUCCACUGAAAGCUAUUCUUCAUGAUAACCGUAGGAGGUGGAUACUAUUAUUAGGUUUCCUAUUAUAUAAGCAACAGAUGAUAGAAGUUAAGACUUGAGGAGAAAAAGAGGGUUCCUGAAAGAUUCAAGCCCACACAAGCAGAAAGUGAUAGAGCUGGGCUCCGUCCUCACAUUGACUUCACAUUCUGUGUUGUUAAACGCGGAGAUGGGCUACAUCUUAGUUAUGGGCAGAGAGCAUCACAAUCGCAAGAUAAAUGUUUCUGCAUGUAUGUAAAAAGGGCAAGCAUUUUCAUAAGUCUUAGAAGGUUGCUCUAUAUGUUUUGCCUAACAUGCAUUUUCACAGCAAGUCAAAGGAUAGUCGAAAAUUUAAAUAUAAAAGGUUGGCGGUACAUGGAAAGAUGCUCCACAUUACAAGUCGUUGGGGAAAUGCUAAUAAAGUCAGAAUGAGAUACUACCUCACACCUGUUAGAAUGGCCAUCCUCAAAAAGACUAGAGAUAACAGAUGCUGGUGAGGAUGUGGAGAAAAGGGACCACUUAGCCCUAUUGCUGGGAUUGUAAAUUGUAACAACCACUGUGGAAAACAGCAUCGGAGUUCCCGUCGUGGCGCAGUGGUUAAUGAAUCCGACUAGGAACCAUGAGGUUGCGGGUUCGGUCCCUGCCCUUGCUCAGUGGGUUAAGGAUCUGGUGUUGCCGUGAGCUGUGGUGUAGGUUGUAGACGUGGCUCAGGCGCCGUGUGGCUGUGGCUGUGGCCGGCAGCUACAGUUCCGAUUUGACCCCUCGCCUGGGAACCUCCAUAUGCUGUAAGAGUGGCCCAAGAAAAUGGCAAAAAGACAAACAAACAAAAAAACAGUAUAAAAGAUCUUCAAAAAUUAAAAAUAGAACUGCCAUGUGCAGCAAUUCCACUUCUGGGGAAUGAAAACGUUGACUUGAAACGAUAUCUCAUCCUUACAUUCAUAGCAGCAUUAUUUACAGUAG